AUACGAAGGGGGCUAGCGUUGUUCGGAAUUACUGGGCGUAAAGCGCACGUAGGCGGAUUGAUAAGUUAGGGGUGAAAUCCCGAGGCUCAACCUCGGAACUGCCUUUAAUACUGUUAGUCUCGAGUCCGGAAGAGGUGAGUGGAAUUCCUAGUGUAGCGGUGGAAUUCGUAGAUAUUAGGAAGAACACCAGUGGCGAAGGCGGCUCACUGGUCCGGUACUGACGCUGAGGUGCGAAAGCGUGGGGAGCAAACAGGAUUAGAAACCCUAGUAGUCC
RNAcentral lists this ribosomal RNA (274 nucleotides) under uncultured bacterium. RNAcentral describes it as "partial 16S ribosomal RNA". It matches the Rfam family "Bacterial small subunit ribosomal RNA", at positions 523 to 796 of the family's 1533-position model. The record is from RNAcentral.